CACUGCAAGCUUGUACAAACAAGAACUCUUACUACGUGUAUCUUUCGUGCGUGCUAUAGUGUGCUUAGCUGUUGUGUAGCUGCACGCUCCUAGCCCAUAGAAGAGAAGAGAAACCUUGUCUACUUACUAGGGGUGUAACGGUACACAAACAUUUCAGUUCGGUACGUACUUCGGUUCAGAGGUCACGGUUCGGUUCAUUUUCGGUACAGUAAGAAAACAACAAUAUAUACAUUUUUUGGUUAUUUAUUUACCAAAUUAGCAAAAUCUUCCACCAAAAAUAUUUUUCUUAGUGGAAUAUUUGAUGUGAAGUAAUCAUUGAUUUUGAUUCAAUAUUAUGUUUUGAGCAAUGACAGUUUGAAAGAAAAAAAAACAGCUUUGUUUUAUUAGUCAACAUUGCAACUUUUUCUAAAUUACAUUUAACCUUUAAGCUUUUUUAUUUCACCUUUGUUAUGUUUUUGUUUAUUUUAACAGUAUUUUUAGAGUGUGCCGUGGGCUUUUAAAACAUUAGCUGUGGGCCGCAAAUGGCUUCCGGGGCACACUUUUGACACCCCUGCUAUAGAUAAUAAAAAACUAAAUCUAAUGAAUCUAUGGAUAAAAAGCAGAGCCUGGCGACAAAUGCACGUUUAUCAUAACUCUCUCGCUCUCUCUGUCUCUACUCCUCCCUCACGAAUGCUGCUGCGUGCACAAUUUGUUUUGUUUUAAACCCCUUCUUAAAAGCCUACUGAAAUGAGAUUUUCUUAUUCAAACGGGGAUAUCAGGUCCAUUCUAUGUGUCAUACUUGAUCAUUUUGCGAUAUUGCCAUAUUUUUGCUGAAAGGAUUUAGUAGAGAACAUCGACGAUAAAAUUCGCAACUUUUGGUCGCUAUUAAAAAAGCCUUGCCUGUACCGGAAGUAGCAGACGAUGUGCGCCGAUGUGAGGGCUCCUCACAUCCUCACAUUGUUUAUAAUGUGAGCCACCAGCAGUAAGAGCAAUUCGGACCGAGAAAGCGACAAUUUCCCUAUUAAUUUGAGUGAGGAUGAAAGAUUUGUGGAUGAGGAAAGUUAGAGUGAAGCACUAAAAAAAAGAAAAGAAAAGGCGACGGCUCCAGGCGGCGUCAGUGGGAGCGUUUCAGAUGUUAUUAGACACAUUUACUAGGAUAAUUCUGGAAAAUCCCUUAUCUGCUUAUUGUGUUAAUAGUAUUUUAGUGAGAUUAUAAAGUCAUACCUGACACCAGUGUCUCUGAGAAAAGCCGAGGAGCAAAGAUUGCAGCUGCCUUUUUGAGCUGCAGGAUUAGGUCGCGUAAUCCACUCAUGUCUCCGGUAAGAGCCGACUUAAUAUCACAAUUUUCCCAUCCAAAAACUUGCUGGUUGACGUAGAGAAACAUGUUCGCUUGACCGCUCUGUGUUAAAGCUUGACAACAAACAAAGAAACACCGGCUGUGUAUCGGUGCUAAAGGCAGCUGCAAUCCACCGCUUUCCACCAAAGGCAUUAUUCUUUGACGUCUCCAUUAUUAAUUGAAGAAAUUGCAAAAGAUUCAGGAACACAGAUGUCCAAAAGACUGUGUAAUUAUGUGAUUAAAAGAGACUACUUUUAGCCGUAAGUGGUGCUGGGCUAAAAUGUCCCCUCCAACCAAUAACGUCACAAACACGCAUCAUUCCGCGACGUUUUCAACAGGAAACUCCGCGGGAAAUUUAAAAUUGUAAUUUAGUAAACUAAACCGGCCGUAUUGGCAUGUGUUGCAAUGUUAAUAUUUCAUCAUUGAUAUAUAAACUAUCAGACUGCGUGGUCGGUAGUAGUGGCUUUCAGUAGGCCUUUAACCCUGAACGUCCAUUGAAAAUACACGCAACCCUAACUUAAAAUGCCGGACAUUUGAGGCAUUUAAGAAACUCCACCCGGACAGCCCCACAAAAGAGGACAUGUCCGGUGAAAAGAGGAUGUAUGGUUAGUCUAUCGUAGCCCGGUCGCUGCUAGCAUGCCGUGUGUUGUGCCUCGGUGUGCAUUGUUUACACAACGUGCGGUACGCUACUUAAUAUGUCCGUGUGGAAACUCGUUCGAUACACCUCUGAACUGAACCGAAACCCCCGUACCGAAACAGUUCAAUACAAAUACACGUACCGUUACACCCCUAGUACUUACUGGAGGACAUUGUGAUGUUAACUGUCCACAUGAAAACACUACUUGUGUCGGCCAUUUCAGAUGCAAGCAGAGACAAUCUGAUACUUGUUUUUUGCAGAUAUUGGGCCGAUAUCAGUAUUAGAUCGAGACACAAUUUCUGGACUGUAAUACAAAAAACUGUCAUAAAAACAGCCGUUUUUCCAUGAAUUGAUUAACGUGGACCCGACUUAAACAAGUUGAAAAACUUAUUCGGGUGUUACCGUUUAGUGGUCAAUUGUACGGAAUAUGUACUGUACUGUGCAAUCGACUAAUGAAAGUCUCAAUAAAUAAAUAAAAAUCUGAUAUCAGAACGGGACCCCCCUUGUACUUUUUGUUUGUUUUGUUAGUUAAAUGAUCCAUCCAUCCAUCCAUUUUCUACCGCUUAUUCCCUUUGGGGUCGCGGUGGGCUCUGGUGCCUAUCUCAGCUACAAUCGGGCGGGAGGCGGUGUACACCCUGGACAAGUCGCCACCUCAUCGCAGGGCCAACACAGAUAGACAGACAACAUUCACACUCUAAGGACCAUUUAGUGUUGCCAGUCAACUUAUCCCCAGGUGCAUGUCUUUGGAGGUGGGAAGAAGCCGGAGUACCCGGAAGGAACCCACGCAUUCACGGGGAGAACAUGCAAACUCCACACAGAAAGACCCCGAGCCCGGGAUUGAACCCUGACUACUUAAGACCUUCAUAUUGUGAGGCAGACGCACUAACCUUUCUUCCACCGUAAAGCCCUAGUUAAGUGAUUUAGGAUUUAUUUUUCAACCCAUUUUCUGUAUCGUGCUUGUACUACUUGAGGACAAUACAACUGCCGAUAUUGGUACACUCUUAGUUACAAAGUGUCACAAACAGAUUGCCCUCUUGCCUACCUUUGCGUGUCUCUGCAGUUGCUGUACAAUCUCGGAGGCGGUGUGGGACUGCAGGGUCUCCAACUCCUGGGCGACGAGGGCAAGCGCCAGCACGGACGACUGUGGAGGACAAAGACCACGUCACAGCCUGUUGGCUGUCAAAACCCCCCCCCAGGACUUACUUUGGCUUUGGAGAAAACCAGCCGACAUAGGCAGGAUUUGAGCUGAGCUUCCAGCCUCCCGACGCCGGGGAUCUCCACCCUGUAAACAUCAAGAAGAAUGUGACGCGCUCGCACAAGGAAGGAGGCUCACGGGUGGAGCGGGCGCUUACCCCUGGGCGCACGCGCAGGUCAAGGCCGAGUGGUAGAGGUGCAGAAAGGUCAGGGCCGUCACCGCAGCCCUGGGCUCCGGGCCCAGUUUCUCCGAAAUGACCUUCUCCAUGCGGCGCAGGUCCGACUCUGUGAACUUGCUCUGGCUGAUGCGAAUGAGCUCGCGGCCAGGUGCCACAUUGCUGGCCUCCUCCGUCACGCCGGCCGCCAAGUGGAGGCAGCAGACGGCGAUGCACGGCACGUGUUUGGGCUGAGCCUGUCGGCGAGACACGUGAGGAGUCGUCUCGUGAUGGACUGUUCAACCAGCGAGGAGCUCGAAAGAGGCAUCAAGGAAACCCAGAAGCUUCAGGAAGAAGUAGAAAAUGCCACCAAAUUUACAUUGGAGAAGUUCGGCUGCACAGACGGACACGUUUAUGCUCCGUCGUGGGAUUCAUCCCAUCUGCAGGCAGCAGGGCAGAGAGAUGUCAGCCCCACCACGAGAAAGGAGGCAUCUGCUCCACAUGAACAAGGCAUGGAAAGCCUGCAGACCAGUUUCCAGCAAGUCCAGAUGGAGAGGAGGACUGAUUCGAGGAGGCAGGUUGAUCAGAUGGAAAAGAUGCUCAGCUUGCUGGAGGAGCUCCAAGCCAUCAAAAGGUCAGGUGACCAGAAUCUGCGGGAAGCCCAGAAUGAGACGUGGCAGCUGAACAAGAACGUGGAGGCGCUGGAGGGAAACAUCAAGAAAUGGUGCCAGACUUUGCUAUCCCACGAGAAAACUGUCUCGAGCACCAUCGCCUCUGACAGACAGACAGAGUCACACUUGCAGCUGGCAGAACAUGUGAACAGUGACGACCUCAGCGGAGGAGAGAUUGACCAAAAAAUGGCGCCCUUAGUUGCAAGCCUUGGCCAGGAGGUGGCGAUGCUGAACCACAAACUGCGCUCAUCCAAAGAGAGCGGCGCUCGCAUCAGCACCAAACUGGACCUUCUAAUGAGAUCCCUAUAUCAGGUCAGUGAGGAGGAGGUGCAGACCCCAGGAGGAGAGCAAGGCGCGACCGAAGAGGAGAAAUCCCAAGAAGCCAUGCAGACCCACCUGGCUGCAGACCCUCAGCGUGUUGAGGCGCAGGACCCGGAGAAGCAGCAACUCGCCGCCCAGCUGGAGGUGCAGCACAGGCGCCUGCUCGCCAUCACUAAGGCGCACGGAGAGCUGCAACAGCUCCACAGCUGCACGACUGAGGAGCACAAGGGCAUCGUGCUGAGGCUCCAGGGCCGGAUGGACAGAGUCCAGACUGAGCUGGACCGGGUCAAACGCACCCUGAGGACGCUGGAAGGCGCUGACUGCCACGGCCUCCGAGCGGCCUUGGACAUGCAGAAGGAAAUCACAGCCGGGAGACGGCAGACGGACACUCUGCAGGCCAGAGUCCGACAACUGGAGGAGACGCUAAAGAAACUGAACCAGGAGAGGUUCUACCAAGACGUGGAGAACCGGCGUCAGGUCCGCCAGCUGGCCUUUGUCGAGCAGGAGAAGAGGCAACUUGCUCACCAACUGGACGCCGUCUGCUCCAAAGACAAACAUUUAAGGGAGAGGAUCGGCGAGCUGGAGGCCAUCCUUCACAAGACGGCCGAGAGCUUUGCCAACUGUCAAGAUUUUAUCCAGCUGAAGGAGCAGGAGUUCUUCCGCCUAAAAGUCAAACACAUCCUGGACUUGAAGGAGUUCCAAGGUCCAAACGUAACUCCACCUGAACUGGACUCUCCGACCUUGAAUGCACUCGGUGAUCUUCAUCCCUCCGCCCAGGACGCCUGCAACGCCCAGAUCAAGGAGCGGCGGGAGAGCCUCGCCCCGGGCCGGCUGGGAGCGCUCUCACAGAACCCGGGAGGAGGACCACCCACAGACAACGGCGCCGCCCCCGGGAGGAGGUCCCCGCCGGCGAGAGCGCACAGACCCGCAUUCAUCGAGGAGGUCAAGGCCCACAAAGCAGCUCACAGACCAAAAACGUACCACGGCGAGCCUCAUUCCCCCAAGAAGACGGCCGAGCCGGGACCACUGGGAGACAGUCACAUGCGGUCAGCUUUGGCGAGUGCAACGAAGAACACUCUCUCCCCCCCGCGCCGACUGUUGUCGGGCCGCCGGUCACCUGUGCACGCUCUGCUGACCUCUGACCCUGCACACAGCUGACCCACACAACAACAGCAGUCUUGAAAAUGGCUCACGCUGCACCGAUGUUUCCGGAUUCUGUGUCAUGGGGAAGGCAAAAGAAUUGUCAAAGGGAUCUGCGAGAAAAGGGGAGAAGGAGGAGAGAACGAGACUGGUGAUGGUGCGGAGCGAGAGCAACACAUACAACGAUGGAGACGGAGACGGAGAACAAGAGGCAGACGGAAGUACGUUCUGCCGAAAAGCAGACGUCGGAGCGAGCAGCAGAAAGUGACGAGAGACCCGACCGCAGACAAGGUUGUGUUGGAAAAUAAAGCAAGUCAAACCUGCUCAAAGUCAUGUCCUUCCUUGGUGGUCCAUGGAACCCGCAAGACGACGGCACGAGUCUGUCAGAAUGCCCUUUCCCGACUACUUCGGCGCGUGUUGCAGCCAUGAAAUUCUAAGGUAAUUAUUAUUUGCCGAAAAAAAUGAAGUUUAUGAGUUUGAACAUUAGAUAUGUUGUCUUUGUAGUGCAUUCAAUUGAAUAUGGGUUGAAAAGGAUUGGCAAAUCAUUGUAUUCCGUUUAUAUUUACAUCCAGCACAAUUUCCCAAGUCAUAUGGAAACGGGGUUUGUAUAUGUAUGUUUGUACCCUGAAUGAUAUGUACAUGUAUGUGUAUAUGUAUGUUUGUACCUUGAAUGUGAGUGUGGAAGUACGAACUUUGAUUAUGUAGGUAUGUAAUGUAUUUGUGUAUGUAUUUUGUAGCGUAAGUACCUAUGUAUAUAUGUAUGUAUGUAACGACACUGUACAGUACAGUACAGUGUCUACGCCUUUCUCCUCAAUUGAGCUAAAUUGAAUUCUGUCUCCGUUUAAUUCCUUGCUUCUUGUCUUGUUUAAUAGAUGUCAUCAGUUUGUUUGAACCUGACAGGACAGCGUGGCGCGGUUGGACGAGUGCCAACAGUCUACUGACCUCGUCAUGUCCGUUGUGUCCUUGAGCAAGACACUUCACCCUUGCUCCUGAUGGGUGCUGGUUAACGCCUUGCAUGGCAGCUCCCUCCAUCAGUGUGUGAAUGUGGAAAUAGCGUCAAAGCGCUUUGAGUACCUUGAAGGUAGAAAAGCACUAUACAAGUACAAACCAGUUACCGUUAUGUAAGCUACCUCGCUACAUGGGUCUAAAAAUAGCUAAGCUACAAAAAUUGCGACUUGUUCAAAAAGUACUGAAGCUACUAAAUGUAUGCAUAGCUUUGCUUCAUUCUUUGACUCAUUUCACUUGAUCAAACGUUUUCUAACAUUCCACUCUACGAAAUAGGGGAAAAAAUGGGUUAGUCUAGCUCAGUGUUUUUUAACC
RNA transcript from Nerophis ophidion (straightnose pipefish), 6753 nucleotides. It is a transcript of the gene named coiled-coil domain-containing protein 158-like, with no coding region annotated. The transcript has 20 exons. NCBI's taxonomy places the organism in Eukaryota, Metazoa, Chordata, Actinopteri, Syngnathiformes, Syngnathidae. The record is from RefSeq and is a predicted model, not a curated record.